Molecule: ribosomal RNA, 207 nt
Filed under: uncultured bacterium
Lineage: Bacteria
Description: partial 16S ribosomal RNA
Rfam family: Bacterial small subunit ribosomal RNA
Source: RNAcentral
CACGUAGGUGGGUCGUUAAGUCGGGGUGAAAUCCCAGAGCUCAACUCUGGAACUGCCUUCGAUACUGGCGACCUUCGAGUUCGGGAGAGGUGAGUGGAACUGCGAGUGUAGAGGUGAAAUUCGUAGAUAUUCGCAAGAACACCAGUGGCGAAGGCGGCUCACUGGCCCGAUACUGACACUGAGGUGCGAAAGCGUGGGGAGCAAACA